RNAcentral lists this ribosomal RNA (330 nucleotides) under uncultured eukaryote. RNAcentral describes it as "partial 18S ribosomal RNA". It matches the Rfam family "Eukaryotic small subunit ribosomal RNA", at positions 1470 to 1796 of the family's 1831-position model. The record is from RNAcentral.
CCCUUAGAUGUUCUGGGCCGCACGCGCGCUACACUGAUGCAUUCAACGAGCCUAUCCUUGACCGACAGGUCCGGGUAAUCUUUGAAUCUGCAUCGUGACGGGGAUAGAUUAUUGCAAUUAUUAAUCUUCAACGAGGAAUGCCUAGUAGGCGCAAGUCAUCAGCUUGCGUCGAUUACGUCCCUGCCCUUUGUACACACCGCCCGUCGCUCCUACCGAUUGAACGGUUUAGUGAGGGCCUCGGAUUGGUCUCGGCCCGCUCUUUACCGGGCGGCGCCGUUGGUCGAGAAGACGCUCGAACUUGAUCGUUUAGAGGAAGUAAAAGUCGUAACA